AACGAACGCUGGCGGCAUGCCUAACACAUGCAAGUCGAACGAGACCUUCGGGUCUAGUGGCGCACGGGUGUGUAACGCGUGGGAAUCUGCCCUUGGGUUCGGAAUAACAGUUGGAAACGACUGCUAAUACCGGAUGAUGACGUAAGUCCAAAGAUUUAUCGCCCAAGGAUGAGCCCGCGUAGGAUUAGCUAGUUGGUGAGGUAAAGGCUCACCAAGGCGACGAUCCUUAGCUGGUCUGAGAGGAUGAUCAGCCACACUGGGACUGAGACACGGCCCAGACUCCUACGGGAGGCAGCAGUGGGGAAUAUUGGACAAUGGGCGAAAGCCUGAUCCAGCAAUGCCGCGUGAGUGAUGAAGGCCUUAGGGUUGUAAAGCUCUUUUACCCGGGAUGAUAAUGACAGUACCGGGAGAAUAAGCUCCGGCUAACUCCGUG
This 433-nucleotide ribosomal RNA is filed under the name uncultured bacterium. RNAcentral describes it as "partial 16S ribosomal RNA". It matches the Rfam family "Bacterial small subunit ribosomal RNA", at positions 29 to 507 of the family's 1533-position model. The record is from RNAcentral.